AAAGUAGUAGGUUAUUUAGACCGACGCUUUUCAAGAGCGCUAGAAAGACUUUAUGCUUAAGCUUC
This 65-nucleotide transfer RNA is filed under the name Pediculus humanus capitis (human head louse). Its description in RNAcentral is "tRNA-Pro". Lineage: Eukaryota; Metazoa; Arthropoda; Insecta; Psocodea; Pediculidae. The record is from RNAcentral.